AAAAAAAAAAAAAAAAAAAACCACAUGCGCAUGAAGUUCAUAGGAGGAGAGUUUCCCUAGAGAGCUCCUUAGUGCCAAGGCCUAUGUUUCUAGGGCUCAUUUGCCUGAGCAAUUGGUCAUGUUGCUCUCCGACCUCUUCCACUUGUGGGAAGUUAUGGAUAUUUUUCCAAGACUAUAAGUUCAUAUUUUCUUAACCAGAUUGAACUUUUUGUUAGGGAAGCAAGGAAAAAUAAGGGAUCCUUAAUGGCGGAAUCACCUAACGCUUUCGGAGGUAAGAACACCACACUGCCAGAUCCUGGGCACCACAUUCUCUGAUAACAUCAACACCUUGAACUGUGCAGUCUAACAAAAGGAAGCCAAGUUUUGUGUCUCCAUGGCCUACCGAUCUCAGCUCCCCAUUGUAUUACUACGUUAGCAGUUAGCAGUUAGUGGGUAUUGCGUACCCACUAUGUGCUAAUAGAUAGAAAUGCCCUGUAUCUUUCAGCAACCCAGGAAGCAAAAACAAUGCUGAUUUCCUUUUUCAGAUGAGUGGCCUGAAGCACUAAGAAGCUAAGUGACUUGCCAGAGGUCACACAGCUGGGAAGUAGCAGAUCUGGGGCUUGUUGCCAAGUGUCUGGGUUUUGCUAUCUCUGCAGCUUGCACCGUUCAGAUCUUGUCUAUUAACAGCACUGUUAGGAAACCACGCUGCCUCCUGUCCUUUCCUGUCAGGCGAUCCAGAACUUCAGUGUCCCUGCAGCCCAGCAGCUAUUUGCGUGUUCACCGUGAAGUAAGAGAGAACCUGCCCUGCUCUCCCCAGGCAGCUUAUGAAUGGGAGCCUUGGCGUACUGCCAGCCAGCACCUGCUCACCUCCAGAAUCGCAGCGUUAGCUGGGCCCACUCCCCCUUGUCUGGCAGAGCCUGGCACAGCACGGAGGCAGUCUGCUAGCUGACAGAGUGAGUCAGGGAAUGAAUCCACAUGAUGGGAGCAACCUGUCCCUGCCUUUUCUACUUUUAGUUAAGGAGGAAAUAAAUGGAAGGAAUCAUUCUUGCA
Molecule: long non-coding RNA, 1029 nt
Filed under: Oryctolagus cuniculus (rabbit)
Lineage: Eukaryota; Metazoa; Chordata; Mammalia; Lagomorpha; Leporidae
Description: lncRNA (ENSOCUG00000038401.1)
Source: RNAcentral